UUGUUUGUUUGUUUUUUAAUUUUUUUUCCUUAAUGUUUUUAUUUAUUUUUGAGACAGAGAGAGACAGAGCAUGAGCAGGGGAGGGCCAGAGAGAGAGGGAGACACAGAAUCCGAAGGAGGCUCCAGGCUCUGAGCCAUCAGCACAGAGCCCCACGCGGGGCUCGAAUUCACGGACUGUGAGAUCAUGACCCAAGCCGAAGUCAGACGCUCAACCGACUGAGCCACCCAGGUGCCCCGGGACUAGCCACAUUUUGAACGCUCAGUUCUCUACACUGGACUGCAGAGCGCUCUACAACACAAUUCAGUCUCUGUUGGGUCCGUGCCUGUGGGUUUUGUUACGAAAGUGGAAGAGGUAUCUGGGACUAGGAAAGAUGAUACAGUCAUUUCUAUUUUUUAAACAUCUAGCAGGAAUGCAUCUAAGGUAUUAUUCAGAAACGUGUAUGAGAGAUGGGGUGCCCCGCUGGCUCAGUCGGUAGAGCAUGAGGUUCUUGAUCUCAGGGUCAUGAGUUCAAGUCCCACAUUGGGCGUAGAGCUUACUUAAAAAUAAAAUAAAAUAAGGAAAACAAGGAAAAAAGAAAAAAGAAGUGUAUAUAGGAGCGAGGGAAAGUUAAUGAGCCUCAGCUGGGCAAUUUUGCACACUUGGCCGACAGCUUGAAUUCAUGUCCCCAAUUCUCAAAAGAUUGUCUACCGCUGACCUUGUAAGCCAUCCAGCCCCCACCCCCCCACCUCCAUUAAUAACACCCAGAGGAGCCCCGAGGUCCUUGCCAGGGAGAGGAGCUGGCAGGGCAGGCCCAGAACAGGAUGCCACAAUUGGCAGAGACUUUCUCCUUAUCAGGGACUCGCAGUCAGAGAAAGAAAGUCUCCUUGUUCCGGGAGGGUUUCUUUUGUUUCCUUUCUCUUUUUGCUUUUAGCUGAGGGGUGUUCCUGGGAAAGAUGAAUGCCAUUGGAAGCGGAAAUUCUUGGCAAUAAGAAAAAAAAAAAACUGCCCGGUGCAGACGCGUGCCCCACCCAAGCAGCUCCCAGCUUCGGGGAUCCAGCGAGCGUCUGAGUCCCGUUGCCCGGGAUCACAGGAGGGCAGGCCCGCGGCCCCCCCAGAGGCAGGUGCAGCCCCUUCCUCUCCCCUGGGCCAGGGCUCUAUUCACAGCGGCUGCGCCCGCAGCCACUUUUGUUGAUUUGAAUCAGGGAAGACCAGGCAAGCUGCGCAAGACCUUGGCAUCUUGGAAUCCGCAACAUCGUGCUGGACUUCGUAGACGAUACUCAGAUGUGGCGCUGGAUGUGAACCCGGUCCCAAGAAGCAGAUCUUUGCUUUGGGCAGAAAGAAGCAAACCCAUUAGAAAGGGGGCUAAGAAGCUGGAUAAUUGACAACAGCAACAAAUCCAAAAGUGAUUUCCAGCUGGCUUUGGAACGCAGCUGCUCUGACUUGCUAAUUACCUUGCUUCCCCCUGGACGCACAUCACACAUCGCCAAGGCCAGGUGGGAAACUGUCACGGACAGUAGGAAGAAUCCCUUUCUGUGGUAGAGCGGAAGAAGAGUCUGGAAGACCAGGCACAACCAGGUUACUUGGAAGCUCAAAGGAGGCAAAUUGCAUGAAGGCACUUUGAAGAUUUUGUGGAGCACCAUCAGACUGCAUUACAGGCAUGGGUGCAGGAGAUGAAAUUAACAGUGAUCUCCAAUUGAUGCAGUGCUUUCAGACCAACAGACGCAGGCACGACAGUGAAGCCCACAGUGGAGGACCUGCUCUGGAUCCACGGACAGCCGAAGAUGGCCAGAGUUUGAGUGCCUCCUGCCCACAAAGCUGACUCUGGACAUCUUCCUCCUCGCCUGCAGAGCUCAGCCCUCUCCUUGCGGGGGGUGGGGUGGUUGGUCUCCCAAGGCUCAGUCAGUCACCCCAGGGCCAGCUUCCCCGACUCUGACCCAGCAGCUCCUCCCGGCUGGCCCACCGAGAUCUGUGCUCUCUGGAUUCAGAUGCCCAGCGGGUGGUUGCUGCCCUGGGAAAGCAGCAAGGAAUGGGCCAUCUACAACAGCGUUUUCAGGUCUGAAGACUGGGAGCUAGGAAAUAAGGAAAUCUGUUAAUUAAAGCACAACUGCUUUAUAGUAAUUGUAAAGGGCUUAAUUUUGGACUUCAGUAGAAAAAUGAGGUUCUGUAUCAAUGAAACUUAAUUGCCAUUCUAGUCUGAAUUAGAAAUGUGCUUACUGAGACGUCCUUAUGAUUAUUUUAUAGGCCGAGAAACAUAUUUCAUCCUGGCAAAAAAAGUUACCAAUACUAACGAAUGAAACAGAACUAAGUUCAUUGUCUGAUAUGUUUACAGAUGGUAGGAAAUUAAAGUAAUACGUUACCAAUUUAAAUGUAGGGGGUAUAAUUCCAAUUCCAAUUUUCACUGCCAACUAUAAGAUGAUCUGUGUCAGGAGAAAUGACACUUAUGUUAUGAUGGCAGUCUGUAUUUUCACUUUAAAUCUUAGGAAUCUAAAAUCCUAGAAUUUUAGAAAAAAAAACUCUUGCUUUUUUUGCAGGCAAAUGUGAUAUAUCAGGAGGCAGCUUGAAAAAUUUUGGAGACUUUAUCCUUAUCUUUAAAAAACUGGAAGAAACUUAAAUGAGUUCUAAUCAAUCUUAUUUUCAAUGUGUUGAGAAAUGUGGCUGCUAGAGUUUCCUUUGGGAGGUUAUUUGGUAAUGACUCACCACAGGAAACGACUACACAUUAAUUUAAGAAUCGUUUAAAAAAAAAAAAAAAAAAAAACCUUGACAACCCACCCCACGUGAUAUGUGUGGUAUGAUGUAUCUCUAUACAUUUUGUUUUUAGACAUUUAAACACAGAUCGGAGUCCUCUUUUUUCCUCUUCUGAAAGUUCAAAUUCUCUCCAAUUUCCAGUAUCUUAAACACUCUCGGCACAAAUGGAAGUUUUAUUUUAACAAGAACAGGGCAUUCUUGAACUGGGCAUUCGCUCGCUACUCUAUCUACCUGUUGUACCCCCAACACUGGAGAUGGUUUAACCACAAGUGUCUCUGUCUGUGCUGUGAGCACUUCAGUAGGAUUCUUGAAAUGAUACUCUUCAACUUCUACUUUCAGAUUGCUUACCACAGAAAUCGUUUCUGUUUCUAAAUCCAUCACUUUAAUUUGAUGAUUAUUGGUGUCUGCUACAUAUAAUAACUGGCCAUUCUCUCCAAUACACAAGCCUCCUGGUUCAUUAAAAGUUGACUCGGUGAAGCUGGAAGUGAUAACGUUA
Panthera uncia (snow leopard) is the source of this 3221-nucleotide long non-coding RNA. RefSeq lists it as uncharacterized. Lineage: Eukaryota; Metazoa; Chordata; Mammalia; Carnivora; Felidae. The record is from RefSeq and is a predicted model, not a curated record. The transcript is spliced from 6 exons.